AACGAACGCUGGCGGCAUGCCUAACACAUGCAAGUCGAACGAGACCUUCGGGUCUAGUGGCGCACGGGUGCGUAACGCGUGGGAACCUGCCCUUAGGUUCGGAAUAACUCCCCGAAAGGGGUGCUAAUACCGGAUAAUGUCUUCGGACCAAAGAUUUAUCGCCUUUGGAUGGGCCCGCGUUGGAUUAGCUAGUUGGUAGGGUAAAAGCCUACCAAGGCGACGAUCCAUAGCUGGUCUGAGAGGAUGAUCAGCCACACUGGGACUGAGACACGGCCCAGACUCCUACGGGAGGUAGCAGUGGGGAAUAUUGGACAAUGGGCGAAAGCCUGAUCCAGCAAUGCCGCGUGAGUGAUGAAGGCCUUAGGGUUGUAAAGCUCUUUUACCCGGGAUGAUAAUGACAGUACCGGGAGAAUAAGCUCCGGCGAACUCCGU
Molecule: ribosomal RNA, 432 nt
Filed under: uncultured bacterium
Lineage: Bacteria
Description: partial 16S ribosomal RNA
Rfam family: Bacterial small subunit ribosomal RNA
Source: RNAcentral